GAAAGAUGGAAGGAAAACCAGAGCAAGGUAGCAGAGGAUUUGGGAAGCUGAGGCAGGAGGAUCAGGAGUUCAAGGCAUCCUCAGUUUGCCGAUGUCAGUAGAUCCACUUCUUCAGGGUUCCUUAGGGGCACAGUUACCUGGACCAGUGGCAGAGGAGUAAAACCCAUUGUCUGAAAGGUAAGAAGAGGGAGGACCUUGGAUCUUCAGAAACUGCAGUCUUACUCAGCUGUGAGCCUCUGUGGGGAUGCUAGGAACUGAACCCAGGUCCUUUACAAGAGCAGGCUCUAAAGAGGAGAGAUGGGCGGUUUAGGCUUAAGCACAGUUUCUGGAAGGAUAGCAGGUUUUCUGAUAUCCCUCCAUACCCACUCUCCAUCAGCUUCUCCCUGGACAGCUCUCCUGGGCUCCUGGCUGGGAGCCUGACUGGGACCAGUCAGAGGGAAGACCCUGUUGGAGUCUGGAGAGGAGAGGAGAG
RNAcentral lists this long non-coding RNA (472 nucleotides) under Cricetulus griseus (Chinese hamster). Its description in RNAcentral is "lncRNA (ENSCGRG00015033672.1)". The record is from RNAcentral. Lineage: Eukaryota; Metazoa; Chordata; Mammalia; Rodentia; Cricetidae.